Ribosomal RNA from Ursus americanus (American black bear), 120 nucleotides. Lineage: Eukaryota; Metazoa; Chordata; Mammalia; Carnivora; Ursidae. The record is from Ensembl.
GUCUUCGGCCAUACCACCCCGAACGCGCCCGAUGUUGUCUGAUCUGGGAAGCUAAGCAGUUGGGCCUGCUCAGUACAGUCUAGUGUACUUCUCCGUGGGGAGCGCUGCUGGGCGAGCAGC